Molecule: ribosomal RNA, 465 nt
Filed under: Vreelandella stevensii
Lineage: Bacteria; Pseudomonadati; Pseudomonadota; Gammaproteobacteria; Oceanospirillales; Halomonadaceae
Description: partial 16S ribosomal RNA
Rfam family: Bacterial small subunit ribosomal RNA
Source: RNAcentral
CCUACGGGGAGCAGCAGUGGGGAAUAUUGGACAAUGGGCGAAAGCCUGAUCCAGCCAUGCCGCGUGUGUGAAGAAGGCCUUCGGGUUGUAAAGCACUUUCAGUGGGGAAGAAAGCCUUGGGGCUAAUACCCUCGAGGAAGGACAUCACCCACAGAAGAAGCACCGGCUAACUCCGUGCCAGCAGCCGCGGUAAUACGGAGGGUGCGAGCGUUAAUCGGAAUUACUGGGCGUAAAGCGCGCGUAGGCGGUCUGAUAAGCCGGUUGUGAAAGCCCCGGGCUCAACCUGGGAACGGCAUCCGGAACUGUCAGGCUAGAGUGCAGGAGAGGAAGGUAGAAUUCCCGGUGUAGCGGUGAAAUGCGUAGAGAGCGGGAGGAAUACCAGUGGCGAAGGCGGCCUUCUGGACUGACACUGACGCUGAGGUGCGAAAGCGUGGGUAGCAAACAGGAUUAGAUACCCCAGUAGUC